CACUUUUGGCAACGGAUCACUUGGCUCUCGCACCGAUGAAGAACGCAGCGAAAUGCGAUAAGUAAUGUGGAUUGCAGAAUUCAGUGAAUCAUCGAAUCUUUGAACGCACCAUGCGCUCCUUGGUAUUACGAGGAGCAUGCCUGUUUGAGUGUCUUGAAGUCAUCAACCCCUCCCGUUUUGCGCGAGACGAAGGUUGGAGAUGGGGGCCGGCGGCCGUGAGGCCGCUCCCCUCAAAUGCUUCGGUUGGGCCUGUGGGUCGAACUCGGUUGGGCGUUGUACCAUCCUCGCUCUUUGUCCGAGAAGUUCCUCUUUGAUUGAGCCCUCCCACGACUGCCGUUCCAGAGGCGGUCAAUUUAAUUUGAAAUCUGACCUCAAAUCAGGUAGGACUACCCGCUGAACUUAAGCAUAUCAAUAAGCGGAG
Molecule: unclassified non-coding RNA, 421 nt
Filed under: uncultured Polyporales
Lineage: Eukaryota; Fungi; Basidiomycota; Agaricomycetes; Polyporales
Description: sequence contains ITS2
Rfam family: 5.8S ribosomal RNA (bases 1-154)
Source: RNAcentral